UAUAACUUUAUAUUAACUACUCAAUGUAAAUAUAGAUACAGUAAGCUACAAGUUAAAAUUAAAGGAACGCUAUCUGUCUUUAUAUUAAUAAAUUGAUUGAAUGAAAGUGUGAUGUGUGAAGUUGGUUUCAGAUGAAAGACAAUGACCCAUCGAGCGUGCAUACCCGCUUACACGAAAACCUUAAAAACUGUGUAAUAUUUCCACGCAACGUAUUGUAAUUUUAGUCAAGUCUGCCUUAUCUCUCGCAUCAUGGCGUCUGGUGAGUGUUCCUUCUUCAGGCGAGACUACAACAAUACUUUCGCACAGAUCGUAAAUCUGUCGUUCAACCAGUAUCUCAUUCGAGAUGUUUCUUCAUCGUUUAUUUUCUUUACAAACAGAUAUUCUUGGUAAACAUGAAUAUCUAAUUAAAAGAUUAUCAAUAAUCGAAUCUCAGAUCGGUGUAUCUCGAGCUACUUGAGCAAAUAGACGAGUAAAACUUACGUCCAGAGACAAUUAACCUUGGAUACUAUCCACGACACUAAAAUAAACAUGAUAAUAGAACAGAUGUAUAACUCGUUGGAUAAAAUAUGAUUGCGAUUCUAUCGACAGUAGUAUGAGACGUUGCGUUCCUAUUUGCUAGAUUCUUUAACUCAUUAAGAAGGUACUUUGAUUUAGAAUGCCACUUUUUACAUAUUUUUAAAGAUUUUUUUGUAUUAUUUCUUGCACACAUAGUUGUUAACGCUCGAAGAAUAUUCAACGUCUUUUUCAAGUGAAAAUAAUCAUUAUUAAUUAUUAGUUAUUAGUUACUAGAUAUUAGUUAUCAAUUAUUUGUCAUUACAUGCAAGCAUUGGAAUAAUUGGUUAGAAUUGCAUAAAUGCAAAGGUAUUGAAGGACGUAAACAAAGUAAUUUAGAUAUCGUUUUGCCAAUGUAGAACAAACAUAAUAGAAUAAUAGUGUAUGUUAAAUAAGAAGUAUGUUAAGUGUAAUCUACAAAUUUUAAGCGUAUUUAUAAUAUAACGAUCAUUUUAGGUUCUUAAGUCCCUCAAAUGCUUUUAUACGAGUAAAUUGUAUGGGAUUUCGGUCCGAAUUUUUCCAUGGAACUGCGCCAAUAGAAAGUCGAAACUCGUCGCGUGAUUUUAAAUCUCGACCUGAAUAAUUGCGCUCCAACCUCGGGGAAUUGUGUUUUUUUUUUUUUUUUCUUUGAUAACUUCCUGUUGGUAUCAUCCUCGAUGAACGUACAUAACAAUGAUAAUACGACGUCGCGUGUCGCCGGCAAUUUUACGUUUUGUGAUUUACAAAAUUGAAAGAUAAACAGUAGUUUGCAUAUUUCUUAACAAUUUUACGGACGACAUUUUCCUUAUUUUUAGGAUGACGGAAUAAUUGAGAUUCCUUUUAUGUGUGACUCUAUUGACUUUAUGACUUUAUGAGUGACUCUAUUAUUCAGAAAGAUGUAGCGUUCUUUCGACAGUUUCGAUAUUCUGUUAGGUUGAUGCAUAUGAAAUACCGUUUCCUCCAAAUUUGCUAUCGACGUAUUAAAGAAGAAGAAAUUUACUAUAAAUCGUAUACGUGGGUAUAUUGAAUGUUGAGAAUCUUCAAGAUUUCUAAUAAAAAAAAGAAUUUAACGAUUAAUCGUCAACAGGUCCAUUCUACAAAUGUUUGACCUGUAGAACUUUCACCUCUAAUUCUUAUAAAUCUGAAAUAAUGAAAUCAAUUAUUAUUUAGGAAAAUGCAUUGAAUCACGCGAAAAGUUUUCGUUUUCGUUGAACGCAUGAUCUUUUAAAAAAAAAUUACGUUAAAAUUUUAUUUAAGAAAAAAAAGGAAUUUCAUACGUAUCAACAUGAAAUUAUCCAACAAGUAUACGACGUUGUUUCAAUUUCAUAUAAACCGGUAAUUCUAGAAGACAUUUACAGAUAAACCGACGACGAUUCACUGAAUGAAAAAUAUAAAAUAGUACGUUAAGAUUGUUGAAUGUCGAGCAACGAGUGCAGCCGGAGGAACAACGUAGUAUUUAAGAAAAAUGCAAGAAUUCCAUGCAACUGUGGAUGGGAAGUGAGAUUCGGUUACGGUGUCGCGGUUACGUUGGCCAUCUUCGAGGCUAAACGUUUUUUCAUGUUGAUCCUGGAGAUAUUUGCCGAAUGGCAAAUCAUUCGAUUCGCAGGUGGUCUACGACCAGUCAUAUUUACGUUAAUAAACGUCAGCUUGGGUUUACCGACUGCUCUAAUUACUGUACGCAGUAUACGAUCGCGAAAAGUACCACGCUGCUGCGCGGAAACAAGACGAACGCUAAAAUGCUUGUUAAUAGUGAUCGCGAUAUGCGCCAUAAUGAACGCGGCUACUCUGGUCUCCAUAGGAUAUCACAUGAACGUCAGACAAGAAACGUUAAUCGACAUUUUCAACAAUUCGAUGCAACUGUACGUGAGUGCAUCGUCUUACAAGUACGCGCUCGACGAGAUACAAUUCAUCUUUCAAUGCUGCGGCCAUUCCUCCUACACAGAUUGGUUUCUCUUUGACUGGCAGGGAGUAGACUAUGCUUCGCGAGAUGAAAUGGCUGUGCAAAGUCCAGUAUCUGACGAAGAAUAUAGAGACCGAAGUGUCCCGUUUAGCUGCUGUAAUUUACGUGCAAUGACACCGUGCGAGCACACGGAGAUCUUGGAGACUGACGUGAAAACCAUAAAUACGAAUGGCUGCGUCGAAGUCGUUACACCUGUCAUCCUUAGGAUCGUCAUCGUCGCUUACGUCAUGACCAGCACGCUUGUAAUCAUUCAGAUCUUCUUAGCCUUCUUAAUUACAAAGAUCAUACGGAAACUUUUAUGCGGGACGUGUCUAACGUACCAUUUUCCAAAAACCUUCGCCAAUGAGUCCACCAGCGCAUCAUUAGAUGCUACAAGUUCGGAAGCAGAUGGACCAGGCCCCAGCACCUCCUCCUCAAACUGGGAACAACAACCGAAGUCUACAAAGAAACGCCAUAAACGUAUACGAAGCAACAAACGCAUCCCAUCAAACAAAAAUAAUUAUCCAAGAAAUAAAAGCAACUCCAAAGACGAUUCUACUUCCUCGUCGCCAUUCGACUCUUCGCGUGGGUCCAAAUACUCCAGUCGUAUCUCUAGAAUCCUCGAUGCCGCUAGAAUCAGACCAAGUACUCACGAGGAGCACACGAUAUUCAAGAAACGAUUGCGCGACGAUGGAACGCGUUGAACAAACGAACUACCUAUCAUUCGCGUGUUUAUUCCAUCCGUCGUACAAAUCAAAUCACGUCACUGCUGAUGUUUUACGAGCGUUUAGCUACAUAUAUUUGCGUCUAAAAAAAGCAUGAGCGGGUUAAACAUGGAAUAAACUGGCGUUCUCGAAGAAUCGGAAUAGGUAUAAUGAUCAUUUCCUGGAGGAACAGCUGGUAAGCACUGCGAAGCGAGGAGGAUCUUGUCGAUGUCUGAAAAACAGAAUUUUCUGUCCAAGAUAUUCGAAGAAGACUCGAGGAAAUUUAAUCGAAAGACGGGCUACAAUUUUGCAAAUUAUUGGAUGAAGAAAUAGGAAGACAGCUGUUAAGAGGUAGCUAAUUAUUAUGUAUAUAUAAGAAAAUAAAAUUCGCUCCAUGUUAUAAGAAAAAUGAUAAUAAACGCGUGGAAGAGGCGUUAAGACACUAAGAGAUUAACUAUGCGUCUUCGAUAACAAUGAAACAUAAAUUCUGUGAAGAAUAUUCAAAGAAGAUUCGGGGAAAUUCGAUCGAGAGAUGAGAUGGAAUUUUUUCGAUAUUGGAAAGAGAAACACGAAGAAGAAUGAUGAUAAACACGUGGAAACAGCGUUAAGACACGGCUAACUACGCGUCUUCGAUAACAAUGAAAUACAAAUUAUAAUGAUUAGAAGUAAGCGACGACAGCGAAGAAGACAUGCGUGGUGGGGAUCGACGAAUCUUGCGUUUAGUAACACAAGAUCGUCUACUGGAGUGCAGUACGAUUCAAAGCACCGUGGAAGGCGCAUUGGUAAAGUCGCUAAUCCCAAGUUGCAUAUAGAUAUAGUCGUACUACUUUGUGUCUUUAACGAAACGACUCGUAACAGUGAAUUUGCUCCAAAUUGUGGCAUUCGGUGGGUGAGUUCGCACGUGGUUGAAUGAUCGGCAUACAUGCAUUAAGCACGACCCACGUAUUUUCCGUCCGUAUAGUGGUGCUAGUUGAUCGAACCUAAGCGGCGCGAUCACACACAAGAGAUCAACAAGAAAGAAAGAGAAGAGUUAUAGGGGGAAGAAAAGGGCGGCACACGCACGAAAAAAGAAGCGAUCGAGUGAACGGAACAGAGAGAAAGAUCGGGGACAAGAUACGAAAUUGCGAGGGCAGCCGAAGACCGUGAGACGAAGAAGGAAACUAGUUAAGGAGUAACAUAGAAAGAGACAGCAACAGAAAUCUCAUUUCGACCGAGUAACUAGCCACA
RNA transcript from Bombus huntii, 4401 nucleotides. RefSeq lists it as uncharacterized. The record is from RefSeq and is a predicted model, not a curated record. NCBI's taxonomy places the organism in Eukaryota, Metazoa, Arthropoda, Insecta, Hymenoptera, Apidae. The transcript is spliced from 6 exons.